CGCAUAUACUGCUUUGUCAAUCUAAUCAUGAUGCCGGCCUCAGUUUGACAGCCCACUGCAGAUACGGAGUGUGCUGCAGCAAGUGGCUCUGGCGUUGGCCGUCGCCGAGGAGGCGCUCCAGUUCGAGCACCGCAAUUUACACGCGGCUCACGUGCUGGUCAAGAAGACCCAAGACGAUACCUGCCGCGGCCACGUCGGAGGCCGCGACAUCGUGGUCAACACGUGUGGCCUUAGGGCGCACCUUGCUGGAUACGGCUUGGCUCGCAUCACUCACGGAAACGGGCCCCUCUACACAGAACCUUCUAGUAUAUACGAGUCCUCGAAGGAGCACCGCCUUCUCUUCGUCUACAGAGACAUGGCAACCAUCACGAGAAACGAGUGGUACGGCUUCCACCCCUUGACCAACGUGCUGUACGUGCAGCGGCUGAUCGAGGAACAACUUGAUCAGCGCUACAGGUUCUGCAGUGAUGACAGCCAGGCGGUGUGGUCCGAGGUGGAAAGCUGGAGGGACCGUCUCCUGCACUACGAGGCACUUGACCUCUUCGUCAAGGACAACUUCAAGAGUGUGCCGUGAACAUCUGCCCUUGCCCGAUAUUUUGAUAAAAGCGCGAAAAAGGACAGCAUACUUAGCGGUGGCUUCAAGUGGAUGAUCCAAUUAGAGAACACGAAGAUACAGUCAAUAUGUCUCCAAGGCUCUGUUAUUAUGGAGCGACCGAACCGAGUCGUUAUAGUCUGCAGCAAUGAGCAGGGAAGCAUUAUUAUUAUUGUUACGCAUUUUCAAAUUGAUUUUGCGUGCGAAAGCCCUGACGAAACUCUCUUGCUGCUAUAUAUUCUAGCAUAGGCUGAACGUCAAAAAUGCACCCGCAGCCAAUUUUAUUCAGAUGU
Molecule: long non-coding RNA, 885 nt
Organism: Rhipicephalus sanguineus (brown dog tick)
Lineage: Eukaryota; Metazoa; Arthropoda; Arachnida; Ixodida; Ixodidae
Exons: 3
Source: RefSeq, a predicted model, not a curated record